RNAcentral lists this ribosomal RNA (119 nucleotides) under Capra hircus (goat). Lineage: Eukaryota; Metazoa; Chordata; Mammalia; Artiodactyla; Bovidae. The record is from RNAcentral.
GUCUACGGCCAUACCACACUUAACGCGACCGAUCUCGUCUGAUCUUGAAAACGAAGCAGGGUCAGGACUGGUUAUUACGUGGAUGGGACACCGCCUGGAAAUACCAGGUGCUGUAGGCU